Molecule: ribosomal RNA, 903 nt
Filed under: Leptosphaerulina nitida
Lineage: Eukaryota; Fungi; Ascomycota; Dothideomycetes; Pleosporales; Didymellaceae
Description: LSU rRNA
Rfam family: Eukaryotic large subunit ribosomal RNA
Source: RNAcentral
UCAAUAAGCGGAGGAAAAGAAACCAACAGGGAUUGCCCUAGUAACGGCGAGUGAAGCGGCAACAGCUCAAAUUUGAAAUCUGGCUCUUUCAGGGUCCGAGUUGUAAUUUGCAGAGGGCGCUUUGGCGUUGGCAGCGGUCCAAGUUCCUUGGAACAGGACGUCACAGAGGGUGAGAAUCCCGUACGUGGUCGCUAACCUUCGCCGUGUAAAGCCCCUUCGACGAGUCGAGUUGUUUGGGAAUGCAGCUCUAAAUGGGAGGUAAAUUUCUUCUAAAGCUAAAUACUGGCCAGAGACCGAUAGCGCACAAGUAGAGUGAUCGAAAGAUGAAAAGCACUUUGGAAAGAGAGUCAAAUAGCACGUGAAAUUGUUGAAAGGGAAGCGCUUGCAGCCAGACUUGCCUGUAGUUGCUCAUCCGGGCUUUUGCCCGGUGCACUCUUCUGCGGGCAGGCCAGCAUCAGUUUGGGCGGUUGGAUAAAGGUCUCUGUCAUGUACCUCUCUUCGGGGAGGCCUUAUAGGGGAGACGACAUGCAACCAGCCUGGACUGAGGUCCGCGCAUUUGCUAGGAUGCUGGCGUAAUGGCUGUAAGCGGCCCGUCUUGAAACACGGACCAAGGAGUCUAACAUCUAUGCGAGUGUUUGGGUGUCAAGCCCGAGCGCGUAAUGAAAGUGAACGGAGGUGGGACCCCAUUAGGGUGCACCAUCGACCGAUCCUGAUGUCUUCGGAUGGAUUUGAGUAAGAGCAUGGCUGUUGGGACCCGAAAGAUGGUGAACUAUGCUUGAAUAGGGUGAAGCCAGAGGAAACUCUGGUGGAGGCUCGCAGCGGUUCUGACGUGCAAAUCGAUCGUCAAAUUUGGGCAUAGGGGCGAAAGACUAAUCGAACUAUCUAGUAGCUGGUUCCUGCCGA